This 504-nucleotide ribosomal RNA is filed under the name uncultured bacterium. RNAcentral's name for it is "partial 16S ribosomal RNA". It matches the Rfam family "Bacterial small subunit ribosomal RNA", at positions 28 to 523 of the family's 1533-position model. The record is from RNAcentral.
GAUGAACGCUAGCUACAGGCUUAACACAUGCAAGUCGAGGGGCAGCAUGACGAUAGCUUGCUAUUGUUGAUGGCGACCGGCGCACGGGUGAGUAACGCGUAUCCAACCUGCCCUUGUCCACCGGAUAACCCGUCGAAAGGCGGACUAACACGGUAUGCAGUCCACAGCAGACAUCUAAUGUGGACGAAAUGUGAAGGAGAAGGAUGGGGAUGCGUCUGAUUAGCUUGUUGGGGGGGUAACGGCCCACCAAGGCGACGAUCGGUAGGGGUUCUGAGAGGAAGGUCCCCCACAUUGGAACUGGGACACGGUCCAAACUCCUACGGGAGGCAGCAGUGAGGAAUAUUGGUCAAUGGGCGAGAGCCUGAACCAGCCAAGUAGCGUGCAGGAAGACGGCCCUAUGGGUUGUAAACUGCUUUUAUACGGGGAUAAAGUGAGUCACGUGUGGCUUAUUGCAGGUACCGUAUGAAUAAGGACCGGCUAAUUCCGUGCCAGCCGCCGCCGUAA